RNAcentral lists this ribosomal RNA (449 nucleotides) under uncultured bacterium. Its description in RNAcentral is "partial 16S ribosomal RNA". It matches the Rfam family "Bacterial small subunit ribosomal RNA", at positions 29 to 523 of the family's 1533-position model. The record is from RNAcentral.
AGCGAACGCUGGCGGCAGGCCUAACACAUGCAAGUCGAACGGAUCCUUCGGGAUUAGUGGCGGACGGGUGAGUAACACGUGGGAACGUGCCCUUUGGUUCGGAACAACACAGGGAAACUUGAGCUAAUACCGGAUGUGCCCUUCGGGGGAAAGAUUUAUCGCCAUUGGAGCGGCCCGCGUCUGAUUAGCUAGUUGGUGAGGUAAAGGCUCACCAAGGCGACGAUCAGUAGCUGGUCUGAGAGGAUGAUCAGCCACAUUGGGACUGAGACACGGCCCAAACUCCUACGGGAGGCAGCAGUGGGGAAUCUUGCGCAAUGGGCGAAAGCCUGACGCAGCCAUGCCGCGUGAAUGAUGAAGGUCUUAGGAUUGUAAAAUCCUUUCACCGGGGACGAUAAUGGCGGUACCCGGAAAAGAAGCCCCGGCUAACUUCGUGCCAGCCGCCGCCGUAA